This is a long non-coding RNA of Astatotilapia calliptera (eastern happy), 444 nucleotides long. Lineage: Eukaryota; Metazoa; Chordata; Actinopteri; Cichliformes; Cichlidae. The record is from Ensembl.
AUUUUGGUUUUCAUGUGACGUAUGACCCUGAAGGCUGACAGGCUGGGUGACAGGCACCUUCAGGCCUGGUGGGUGUGGCCCUGCCAGGUGGCUGGCCAAACCUGAAGUUCAUGCCACGCACCUGCAGCUGCUCAGCCUCGUUGGGGGAGAAACUCGUUGUGUGAAACUCCAUGAGGCAGCGAGCACGGGGUGUGCGGACACAGAAGUGGAGAACAUGAAGCACUGACUUCGGGAGCAGAACACACAACACGGGAGUGCAUGGGGAUUUAUUGUGUAAUAUUUACAGCACUGUAAAUAAACGCACUGCUUUCAUCACAAGAGUUCUGCAUUUGGGUCCUUCUUCCCCACACCCCCACGGCCUGCCACCGCAGACUAUGACACAGCCAAUGAUCAAUGACCACUGAUCAAUGGCCAUGAGUACUGUUCACAGAAAAUUAGGGAAUG